UCGACGAAACCUGAAAGGCGCAAUGAAAGUGAAGGUCGACCGUCGGUUCCUUUCGGGGAGCCGCGGUGCAGGCCGAGGCGGGAUCCGAAGGAAGAGAAGGAAAUCCCUUGGAUUUUUGAAAUUUUGAAAAAAGCCGGGUCGGGGACCGCCGAUCCCGUUCCGUUACCUUCCCACGGCUUGCCUCUGGCCGCGUUCCGGGCGUCAAAAACUCGGGACGCGGUAACGCAGCCGGUUCGGUGGGGUUUCGCUCAGGGAGAGGCUAUACCUCGCGGCGUGGGGCUGCUUCUCGCGGCUCUGCGCUCGAGGCGAAACCUGUAAAAGAAAACCCCGUCACCCCGGUCGGCGCACCGCCGGCCCGUCUCUUCCGCAUCGUCGGUGAGGCGGAGCCAGAGCGUACACGUUGGGACCCGAAAGAUGGUGAACUAUGCUUGGGCAGGACGAAGCCAGAGGAAACUCUGGUGGAGGUCCGUAGCGAUUCUGACGUGCAAAUCGAUCGUCGGACCUGAGUAUAGGGGCGAAAGACUAAUCGAACCGUCUAGUAGCUGGUUCCCUCCGAAGUUUCCCUCAGGAUAGCUGGCGCUCGGUGAGGAACGCAGUCUCAUCCGGUAAAGCGAAUGAUUAGAGGCCUUGGGGCCGAAACGACCUCAACCUAUUCUCAAACUUUCAAUGGGUGAGAAGUCCGGCAUGCUCGACUGAAGCCCGGACGGCAUCCGGCCCAAAAAACAAAACGAACGGAUGCAUAAAAACAAAAAAAAGACGGCGGCGCGUUUGCUUUUCCCGUUUGCGUGGCUUGCCACGUCGAGCGGGUAGGCGCGCGAUU
RNAcentral lists this ribosomal RNA (820 nucleotides) under Newportia longitarsis stechowi. RNAcentral's name for it is "eukaryotic LSU rRNA". It matches the Rfam family "Eukaryotic large subunit ribosomal RNA", at positions 699 to 1135 of the family's 3401-position model. Lineage: Eukaryota; Metazoa; Arthropoda; Chilopoda; Scolopendromorpha; Scolopocryptopidae. The record is from RNAcentral.